GGUCGUGGCUCAAUGCUUAGAGAGUCAGACUUAUAACCUGAAGGUUGUGCGUUCAAGUCUCAGGUCCA
Molecule: non-coding RNA, 68 nt
Organism: Pangasius djambal
Lineage: Eukaryota; Metazoa; Chordata; Actinopteri; Siluriformes; Pangasiidae
Source: the annotation of a GenBank genome assembly